Molecule: ribosomal RNA, 265 nt
Filed under: uncultured bacterium
Lineage: Bacteria
Description: partial 16S ribosomal RNA
Rfam family: Bacterial small subunit ribosomal RNA
Source: RNAcentral
GUACAACGAGUCGCAAGCUCGCGAGAGUAAGCUAAUCUCUUAAAGCCGUUCUCAGUUCGGACUGUAGGCUGCAACUCGCCUACACGAAGUCGGAAUCGCUAGUAAUCGCGGAUCAGCAUGCCGCGGUGAAUACGUUCCCGGGCCUUGUACACACCGCCCGUCACACCAUGGGAGUUUGGAACGCCCAAAGUCGGUGGCCUAACCUUUAUGGAGGGAGCCGCCUAAGGCGGGACAGAUGACUGGGGUGAAGUCGUAACAAGGUAAC